Molecule: long non-coding RNA, 1193 nt
Filed under: Spirodela polyrhiza (greater duckweed)
Lineage: Eukaryota; Viridiplantae; Streptophyta; Magnoliopsida; Alismatales; Araceae
Description: long non-coding RNA (SPOL_LNC002200)
Source: RNAcentral
AGAGAGAGAGAGAGAGAGAGAGAGAGGAAUAGGCGUGGUAGAAACGGAGGCGAAUGGGUAAUCUACGGACCCCCGAGAAAUAUCUCAGUACUUACCGAUUCAGGAUGCUCAGUAGACUGUGCUCUCCUCCGUUAAUCCAAAAGCGUAGAGAAGUUUUUAACGGGGUAAAACCGCAACCUAACAUCAUUAGUCCACAUUAGAAGUAAUCUACGGCUGAUUCAUGUGAGAGAACAGGGCAAGUAACAAAGCGGUUAUUGGGAGAAUGUAAAAUCCCGGUGACGAUCCCAACUCGACCAGCUGAACACUCCAUUUCGCCUCUUUUGAUCUGCUAGGGUUUCUUUCAUGUGCGAAGAAAUCCUAAACUAGGGUUUCUCAACUUGAAGCAACAUGCUAAACUUAUCAUUAUUCUACUCGUGGCUACGCCAGGUCGCUACCUAAUAUUUCAUCCCUCCCUUGAAUAUUUGGAGGCUAAUCAAUUGGUGUACGAUGUGUUUAUAUCGCGAUUUAAUUAUAAUACCACUGGGCAUUGAUUGCUUUGGAUUUUUGUCAACCCCAGACUAAUUUUGCAAGACACUCCAAUUUGUCGGAGAAUAUUAAAGGGCCUCCACCCGAGUGGACUGUAUUGGCAACCAUUUAGCUGGGUCUACUGGGCCAUAGGAACUCUUUCUUUGAUUUCCGAACAGACGAUGGCAGAAGCAGUCUUAAUCGAGGACAAAAAGAGUAUGAGCUGUCCAUUUGUCGGGCACAUUAUUCCUACAAAUGGAAAAUGACAACCUGCCACUCUUUCAUAUGAACAAGAUUCAACAGAGACGCUAAUUUUGCAACAAGUAUGCUGGUUUUCCGGCUGAAGUCUCUGAAUGGUUCAUUCUAGCAUAUGUAAACGGCUGAUUUAAGCCAUCGCGCAUCUCUGCACAGUGGUGGUGACAGACUUUGGAGCAAUUUGAACGUUACGGAAGAUUGCAGAAAAUGGUAGUACCCCACCGUCAACACGCGCUACAUCGUCUGAACGCCAGGACUUUGACCUCUACGCCCGCCGUAAGCAAUGCCGCUGGUCGGUCGGUGAGAUGUCGACGUGGCCUCAGAUGUCAUCGUAAACCAGCAAAAACCGGUCAAACUUCCGGAUCUCGGUGAGAUAGCGACUAACUAAAGUUGUGAUUUUGGGUAAAUUAAAUUAAAAUUAGAUGGAGUUUAGG